GCUAGCCGUAAAUCUAAGCAAACCCUUACUAAUUUGCCCGCCAGAAAAUUACACGCGAAAGCACAAAAUUCAAAGGACUUGACGGUGUUCCACACCAACCUAGAGGAGCCUGUCCUAUAAUCGAUAAUCCACGCUAAACCUUACCCAUUCUUGCCAUAACAGCCUAUAUACCGCCGUCGCCAGCCCAUCUAAUGAUAGAACUAACAUGGGCAAAACUGUCUGCUCACUAAAACGUCAGGUCAAGGUGUAGCUAAUGAAUGGGCUGAGAUGGGCUACAUUUUUUAAAUUAAAAAACACAGCAAGUAACAUGAAACAUGGACUAUAAAGGUGGAUUUAGCAGUAAACUAAGUAAGACAUACUAUAUUGAAGCCAGCUCUGGAACGCGUACAC
This 390-nucleotide ribosomal RNA is filed under the name Phelsuma guentheri. RNAcentral describes it as "partial 12S ribosomal RNA". It matches the Rfam family "Bacterial small subunit ribosomal RNA", at positions 832 to 1388 of the family's 1533-position model. Lineage: Eukaryota; Metazoa; Chordata; Lepidosauria; Squamata; Gekkonidae. The record is from RNAcentral.